CCAGCAGCUGCGGUAAUUCCAGCUCUUCUAGCAUAUAUUAAAAUUGCUGCAGUUAAAACGCUCGUAGUUUGAAGUAUUGGCGUUGGACGGGUGGGAUGUGCCGCGAAAGUGGCCGCCCGUAACCGGCUCAAUGCCAUUAAAAACACCCUCGUGGGCUCUUUUUAAGUAAAGGGUCCACGACAUAACCAUGAACAAAAAUUGGCGCUCAACACAGGACCUCAGGUCUAUUGAGAUUUCAGCAUGGGAUUAUAGAAUAUGGAAAGGCUGAUCCGGGUCCCACGGGGCCCGCCGAGAGGCACUUUCAAUGGUUAAUGAGGACGAUGCGUGGAAGUUCAUAUUAGAGUGUCAGAGGUGAAAUUCUUGGAUUACUCUACGAUGAACAUCAGCGAAGGCAUCCUUCAAGUGCGUGCCUGUCAAUCAAGAACGAAAGU
RNAcentral lists this ribosomal RNA (431 nucleotides) under uncultured eukaryote. Its description in RNAcentral is "SSU rRNA". It matches the Rfam family "Eukaryotic small subunit ribosomal RNA", at positions 567 to 990 of the family's 1831-position model. The record is from RNAcentral.